GGUCUGAUAAGAAUCCCCUAUACUGUGUCGAACCCUUGGGGGUCUGUUCAUCACGAUGGGGCCAUUAGGGAUUGGAGGACCAAGGCAAGGCUUUGUUCUGGGGGAGGUCCUGUCUUAGAAAGUGUGAGGAUAUGAAACACAGGCUGCAUAUGGCGAGGGUGGGCAGCCGUAUGCAUUGUGGAAGGAGGCACCAGUGCUAGGAGAAAAGAAAGCCUCUCUAGUAGCAACGGGGCUAGCUACUCUGGCAUGGACACAGUUUC
RNAcentral lists this long non-coding RNA (260 nucleotides) under Homo sapiens (human). Its description in RNAcentral is "non-protein coding lnc-ARFGAP2-2:1". The record is from RNAcentral. Lineage: Eukaryota; Metazoa; Chordata; Mammalia; Primates; Hominidae.